CUUCUGCUUAAGCAUGCAGGUGAGAAGGGAAGAUACGUGUAAUCUGCAUGUCUGCCAACAUUCCUUGUUACCCUUUUUCAUAUCCCAUGAACACAGCACUCCAGCGGACCUACCCAAAAUAUGUGGGAGUUCAGUGAAACUCAAACAGCAUGCUUCUGGUCAGCCUAUACAGUCUCUGUCCUGGUGAGGAGCAUGAUCACCAACAGGCAAGAUCUUCUGGCCUCGAAGUUUCGCUUGAGCUAAAAGAGCUCAUCUCAGGACUUUCUGAAUUUUCAGCCCAUAUGACAUGGAAGAAGAGUUAGAAGGGGAAUCUGACUGCUUGGAUCAGGGACUGUCUGGCUAGUGGAACUUGAAUGUAUACAACACUCUUCAUUUUCAUGUUUUGACAUUUUAAAAAAUGUUUUCACUUUCCUUAUCUACUUUGACUCUAAUAACAUCCUGAAAGAUGCUGUUGUCCUCUUUCUGGACCUUAGAGAUGUACAGUGCACCACUUUGAGGAUCAAGUCUGACCCUGCCUUUAAAUUUGGAUUCAAAGUACUUAGAUUUUCUGGAAUCCCAUUCUACAAUCUUCUGGUCGAAAGUAUAAAACCAGUCUGCAGGUGUACCCAACAGCUCCGAAGAGACAGUGACAUCAAGAACGGGCCAUGAUGAUGAUGGCGGUUUUGUCGAAAAGAAAAGGGGGAAAUGUGGGGAAAAGCAAGAGAGAUCAGAUUGUUACUGUGUCUGUAUAGAAAGAAGUAGACAUAGGAGACUCCAUUUUGUUCUGUACUAAGAAAAAUUCUUCUGCCUUGAGAUGCUGUUAAUCUAUGACCUUACCCCCAACCCCGUGCUCUCUGAAACAUGUGCUGUGUCAAACUCAGGGUUAAAUGGAUUAAGGGCGGUGCAAGAUGUGCUUUGUUAAACAGAUGCUUGAAGGCAGCAUG
RNAcentral lists this non-coding RNA (923 nucleotides) under Pan troglodytes (chimpanzee). Lineage: Eukaryota; Metazoa; Chordata; Mammalia; Primates; Hominidae. The record is from RNAcentral.